UACGGGGGGGGUAAGCGUUGUUCGGAAUUACUGGGCGUAAAGGGCUCGUAGGCGGCCAACUAAGUCAGACGUGAAAUCCCUCAGCUUAACUGGGGAACUGCGUCUGAUACUGGAUGGCUUGGAUUUGGGAGAGGGAUGCGGAAUUCCAGGUGUAGCGGUGAAAUUCGUAGAUAUUCGCAAGAACACCAGUGGCGAAGGCGGCUUACUGGUCCGGUUCUGACGCUGAGGCGCGAAAGCGUGGGGAGCAAACAGG
RNAcentral lists this ribosomal RNA (253 nucleotides) under uncultured bacterium. RNAcentral's name for it is "partial 16S ribosomal RNA". It matches the Rfam family "Bacterial small subunit ribosomal RNA", at positions 524 to 776 of the family's 1533-position model. The record is from RNAcentral.